RNAcentral lists this ribosomal RNA (400 nucleotides) under uncultured bacterium. Its description in RNAcentral is "bacterial SSU rRNA". It matches the Rfam family "Bacterial small subunit ribosomal RNA", at positions 355 to 747 of the family's 1533-position model. The record is from RNAcentral.
UCGAGAAUCAUUCACAAUGGGCGAAAGCCUGAUGGUGUGACGCCGCGUGGAGGAUGAAGGUCUUCGGAUUGUAAACUCCUGUCAUGUGGGGGUAAGGCUUGGCGUUUAACUGGCGUCAAGAUUGAUAGUACCACAAGAGGAAGGGGCGGCUAACUCUGUGCCAGCAGCCGCGGUAAUACAGAGGCCCCAAGCGUUGUUCGGAAUCACUGGGCGUAAAGGGUGCGUAGGCGGCGGUGUAAGUCAGAUGUGAAAUCCCGGGGCUCAACCUCGGAACUGCAUCCGAUACUGCAUUGCUUGAGUACUGGAGGGGAGUCUGGAAUUCACGGUGGAGCAGUGAAAUGCGUGGAUAUCGUGAGGAACACUAGUGGCGAAGGCGAGACUCUGGACAGUAACUGACGCU